CUCAAGUCAUGUUCGAUAUCUAGUUAAGGGGUACAUUUAUCUCCAGCGUUCCCCGGGACCUUCCCUUUUGAUUUUCAAGAACAUUUUCUUCCCUCUGCCAGAGCAGUCCUUUCGAAUCAAAGGCUCGGCUUUUCCAAAGUGUAGUUUCUGAUGUGGGCUUCAGUGGACUGGCUGCGAAGUUCCUGAGACAAUGAGAGGGAAUGCUGGCUGCCUCUUUCUCUUUAUCUUCUCGCAGUAAAGCUCCAGUUCUCCUCGAGGUAAAGUGGAGCCUCUGAUUGACGCGAGGACGCGGGGAAAAUGAAAGCCAAAUUAUUAUUAUUUCAAGUUGUGUUCUUGCGGCGUUCCCAGAUGUCUGUGGUGACCCUCGUUUGUGUGAAGUCAACACAACUGACCAGCACACCAUCUGAAUGCUACAGCGGGAUGGAGAUGGGAGGCGAAGCCUUGGAAGCUGCAGGGUGAAUAGCUGGUGUGCACAACCCCCUAGCAACGGGCAAACAAGGACUCCGGAGUGUGGAAUGGGAGUCAGGGCUUAAUGGGCACAAAGUUUCC
RNAcentral lists this long non-coding RNA (549 nucleotides) under Mus caroli (Ryukyu mouse). Its description in RNAcentral is "lncRNA (MGP_CAROLIEiJ_G0005928.1)". The record is from RNAcentral. Lineage: Eukaryota; Metazoa; Chordata; Mammalia; Rodentia; Muridae.